RNAcentral lists this ribosomal RNA (299 nucleotides) under uncultured bacterium. Its description in RNAcentral is "partial 16S ribosomal RNA". It matches the Rfam family "Bacterial small subunit ribosomal RNA", at positions 334 to 648 of the family's 1533-position model. The record is from RNAcentral.
UAGCCUACGGGACGCAGCAGUGGGGAAUAUUGCACAAUGGGCGAAAGCCUGAUGCAGCAACGCCGCGUGAAGGAAGAAGGGUUUCGGCUCGUAAACUUCUAUUAACAGGGACGAAAGAAAUGACGGGACCUGAAUAAGAAGCCCCGGCUAACUACGUGCCAGCAGCCGCGGUAAUACGUAGGGGGCAAGCGUUAUCCGGAAUUACUGGGUGUAAAGGGUGAGUAGGCGGCAUGGUAAGCCAGAUGUGAAAGACUUGGGCUUAAACCGAGGAGUGCAUUUGGAACUAUCAAGCUAGAGUA